AUUGAACGCUGGCGGCAGGCCUAACACAUGCAAGUCGAACGGUAACAGGAAGAAGCUUGCUUCUUUGCUGACGAGUGGCGUAUGGGUGAGUAAUGUCUGGGAAACUGCCUGAUGGAGGGGGAUAACUACUGGAAACGGUAGCUAAUACCGCAUAACGUCGCAAGACCAAAGAGGGGGACCUUCGGGCCUCUUGCCAUCGGAUGUGCCCAGAUGGGAUUAGCUAGUAGGUGGGGUAACGGCUCACCUAGGCGACGAUCCCUAGCUGGUCUGAGAGGAUGACCAGCCACACUGGAACUGAGACACGGUCCAGACUCCUACGGGAGGCAGCAGUGGGGAAUAUUGCACAAUGGGCGCAAGCCUGAUGCAGCCAUGCCGCGUGUAUGAAGAAGGCCUUCGGGUUGUAAAGUACUUUCAGCGGGGAGGAAGGGAGUAAAGUUAAUACCUUUGCUCAUUGACGUUACCCGCAGAAGAAGCACCGGCUAACUCCGUG
RNAcentral lists this ribosomal RNA (490 nucleotides) under uncultured bacterium. RNAcentral's name for it is "partial 16S ribosomal RNA". It matches the Rfam family "Bacterial small subunit ribosomal RNA", at positions 30 to 507 of the family's 1533-position model. The record is from RNAcentral.